GUUAUAUGGUCAAGCGAUCAAGCGCACACGGUGGAUGCCUAGGCAGUCAGAGGCGAUGAAGGACGUGGAAGCCUGCGAUAAGCCUCGGGGAGUCGGCAAACAGACUUUGAUCCGAGGAUUUCCGAAUGGGGAAACCCACCUACCAUAAGGUAGGUAUCCUUAACUGAAUCCAUAGGUUAAGGAAGCGAACCGGGAGAACUGAAACAUCUAAGUAACCCGAGGAAAAGAAAUCAACCGAGAUUCCGAAAGUAGCGGCGAGCGAAAUCGGACCAGCCCUUAAGCUAAGGGACGGAUAGGAGAAGGCUCUGGAAAGUGCCGCCAUAGCGGGUGAUAGCCCCGUAUCUUAAAUCCCAACUUAGUGAAAUCGAGUAGGACGGGACACGUGUAAUCCUGUCUGAAUAUGGGGGGACCAUCCUCCAAGGCUAAAUACUCCUGACUGACCGAUAGUGAACCAGUACCGUGAGGGAAAGGCGAAAAGAACCCCUGUGAGGGGAGUGAAAUAGAUCCUGAAACCGUGUGCGUACAAGCAGUCGGAGCAGACUUGUUCUGUGACGGCGUACCUUUUGUAUAAUGGGUCAGCGACUUAUUUUCAGUGGCGAGCUUAACCGUUAGGGGAGGCGUAGGGAAACCGAGUCUUAAUAGGGCGUCAAGUCGCUGGGAAUAGACCCGAAACCGGGCGAUCUAUCCAUGGGCAGGGUGAAGAUUGAGUAACAUCAAUUGGAGGCCCGAACCGUAAUCUGUUGAAAAAGAUUCGGAUGACCUGUGGAUCGGAGUGAAAGGCUAAUCAAGCCCGGAGAUAGCUGGUUCUCCUCGAAAGCUAUUUAGGUAGCGCCUCGUGUAUCACCACCGGAGGUAGAGCACUGUUUGGACUAGGGGGCCAUCCCGGCUUACCAACUCCAUGCAAACUCCGAAUGCCGGUGAGUGCAGCACGGGAGACAGACGGCGGGUGCUAACGUCCGUCGUCAAAAGGGAAACAACCCAGACCGUCAGCUAAGGUCCCAAAAUCAUAGUUAAGUGGGAAACGAUGUGGGAAGGCUAAAACAGCUAGGAGGUUGGCUUAGAAGCAGCCACCCUUUAAAGAAAGCGUAAUAGCUCACUAGUCGAGUCGGCCCGCGCGGAAGAUGUAACGGGGCUCAAACUAUGUACCGAAGCUACGGGUGUCACUUUGUGACGCGGUAGAGGAGCGUUCUGUAGGCCGUUGAAGGUGAAUCGUAAGGUUUGCUGGAGGUAUCAGAAGUGCGAAUGCUGACAUGAGUAACGAUAAUGCGGGUGAAAAACCCGCACGCCGGAAGACCAAGGGUUCCUAUCCCAUGCUAAUCAGGGUAGGGUGAGUCGGCCCCUAAGGCGAGGGCGAAAGCCGUAGUCGAUGGGAAACGGGUCAAUAUUCCCGUACCACUUAAUAUUGCGACGAGGGGACGGAGAAGGCUAGGUGAGCCAGGCGUUGGUUGUCCUGGUGAAAAUCCGUAGGUGGUGUACUUAGGCAAAUCCGGGUACACAACACCGAGAGAUGAGACGAACACACCACGGUGUGGAAGUCAUUGAUGCCACGCUUCCAGGAAAAGCCUCUAAGCUUCAGAUGUUAAGUGACCGUACCCCAAACCGACACAGGUGGUCAGGUAGAGAAUACCAAGGCGCUUGAGAGAACUCGGGUGAAGGAACUAGGCAAAAUGGUGCCGUAACUUCGGGAGAAGGCACGCCGGCAUUAGGUGAUGGGACUCGCUCCCUGAGCCGAAGCCGGUCGAAGAUACCAGGUCCCUGCAACUGUUUAUUAAAAACACAGCACUCUGCAAACUCGCAAGAGGAUGUAUAGGGUGUGACGCCUGCCCGGUGCCGGAAGGUUAAUUGAUGGGGUUAGUCUUCGGACGAAGCUCUUGAUCGAAGCCCCGGUAAACGGCGGCCGUAACUAUAACGGUCCUAAGGUAGCGAAAUUCCUUGUCGGGUAAGUUCCGACCUGCACGAAUGGCGUAAUGAUGGGGACGCUGUCUCCACCCGAGACUCAGUGAAAUUGAAAUCGCAGUGAAGAUGCUGUGUAUCCGCGGCUAGACGGAAAGACCCCGUGAACCUUUACUACAGCUUUACACUGGACUUUGAUGUUACUUGUGUAGGAUAGCUGGGAGGCUUUGAAACCGGAACGCCAGUUUCGGUGGAGCCAAUCUUGAAAUACCAGCCUGGUAACAUUGAGGUUCUAACCCAGACCCGUAAUCCGGGUCGGGGACCGUGUAUGGUGGGUAGUUUGACUGGGGCGGUCUCCUCCAAAAGAGUAACGGAGGAGCACAAAGGUACCCUCAGGCUGGUCGGAAAUCAGCCAAUGAGUGCAAGAGCAUAAGGGUGCUUGACUGCGAGUCCAACACGACGAGCAGGUGCGAAAGCAGGUUCUAGUGAUCCGGUGGUUCUGUAUGGAAGGGCCAUCGCUCAACGGAUAAAAGGUACUCCGGGGAUAACAGGCUGAUACCGCCCAAGAGUUCACAUCGACGGCGGUGUUUGGCACCUCGAUGUCGGCUCAUCACAUCCUGGGGCUGAAGUCGGUCCCAAGGGUAUGGCUGUUCGCCAUUUAAAGUGGUACGCGAGCUGGGUUUAGAACGUCGUGAGACAGUUCGGUCCCUAUCUGCCGUGGACGUUGGAAACUUGAGAAGAGCUGCUCCUAGUACGAGAGGACCGGAGUGGACGAACCUCUGGUGUUCGGGUUGUGAUGCCAAUCGCAUUGCCCGGUAGCUACGUUCGGACAGGAUAACCGCUGAAAGCAUCUAAGCGGGAAGCCCCCUUCAAGAUUAGGUUUCCCUGGAGCCUUGAGCUCCCUAAAGGGCCCUCGAAGACUACGAGGUUGAUAGGCUGGGUGUGGAAGUGCAGCAAUGCAUUGAGCUAACCAGUACUAAUGACCCGUGAGGCUUGACCAUAUAACACCCAAG
Molecule: ribosomal RNA, 2906 nt
Filed under: Terasakiispira papahanaumokuakeensis
Lineage: Bacteria; Pseudomonadati; Pseudomonadota; Gammaproteobacteria; Oceanospirillales
Description: bacterial LSU rRNA
Rfam family: Bacterial large subunit ribosomal RNA
Source: RNAcentral